GGCGAACGCUGGCGGCGUGCCUAACACAUGCAAGUCGAACGGGACUUAGUGGAAUGCGGCUUCGGCCAAAGGAAAUUAAGUUUAGUGGCGAACGGGUGAGUAACGCGUGAGAAACCUGCCUCUCAGUGGGGGACAACAGUUGGAAACGACUGCUAAUACCGCAUAACAUUACCGGAGGGCAUCCUCUGGUAAUCAAAGCUUUGUGUGCUGAGAGAUGGUCUCGCGUCUGAUUAGCUAGAUGGCGGGGUAACGGCCCACCAUGGCGACGAUCAGUAGCCGGUCUGAGAGGAUGAACGGCCACAUUGGGACUGAGAUACGGCCCAG
This 324-nucleotide ribosomal RNA is filed under the name uncultured bacterium. Its description in RNAcentral is "bacterial SSU rRNA". It matches the Rfam family "Bacterial small subunit ribosomal RNA", at positions 28 to 334 of the family's 1533-position model. The record is from RNAcentral.